RNAcentral lists this long non-coding RNA (532 nucleotides) under Ursus americanus (American black bear). RNAcentral describes it as "lncRNA (ENSUAMG00000014264.1)". The record is from RNAcentral. Lineage: Eukaryota; Metazoa; Chordata; Mammalia; Carnivora; Ursidae.
CCCCCGCACCGCCUGGACCAGGAGUUGUGUUUCUGGGGCUGCCGGGGCCCGGCCUUGCCAGCGCCCGCCUCCCGCCGCAGCCUGGGCGACUACUGGCUGAGCCCGCAGCGCCGCCGCCCGCCGGGCGCCGCCUGGCGCUGGCCGACGCGCAACCUGCUGCUGCUGCCGGGGACCACCAGCCUGGCCGACGUACCCUCUGCGCGCUGGCCCAGCUGCUACAGCGCGCGCCCGCGCCUCACAUGGAAGCACCGAUGGCAGAAUAUUAACUACCAAUUCCUGGGCAAGAGGAAGAGACAUCUAGUUCCCCUGCGCCCGUGAGAGCCGGGAUCUGGGGCGACAGGCUUCAGGCUCAUCGCGUGACGGUCCCGAGGCUGACUCGCGCCAAGCCAGGGUGAGCAGGAAGACGUCCUAGGAGCACUGCAAAAUCCGGUGUCCCUCUCUGUGGGCGAACAUGCUCUACCUUUGCCCCCUCCCCUGGGAUCUCCACGUUUCUGCCCUUCACUGCCCAAAUAAAGCAGUUUUUGCCUCUCUC